This 497-nucleotide ribosomal RNA is filed under the name uncultured bacterium. RNAcentral's name for it is "partial 16S ribosomal RNA". It matches the Rfam family "Bacterial small subunit ribosomal RNA", at positions 28 to 507 of the family's 1533-position model. The record is from RNAcentral.
GAUGAACGCUGGCGUCGUGCCUAAUACAUGCAAGUCGAGCGAACGGACGAGAAGCUUGCUUUUCUGAUGUUAGCGGCGGACGGGUGAGUAACACGUGGAUAACCUACCUAUAAGACUGGGAUAACUUCGGGAAACCGGAGCUAAUACCGGAUAAUAUUUUGAACCGCAUGGUUCAAAAGUGAGAGACGGUCUUGCUGUCACUUAUAGAUGGAUCCGCGCUGCAUUAGCUAGUUGGUAAGGUAACGGCUUACCAAGGCAACGAUGCAUAGCCGACCUGAGAGGGUGAUCGGCCACACUGGAACUGAGACACGGCCCAGACUCCUACGGGAGGCAGCAGUAGGGAAUCUUCCGCAAUGGGCGAAAGCCUGACGGAGCAACGCCGCGUGAGUGAUGAAGGUCUUCGGAUCGUAAAACUCUGUUAUUAGGGAAGAACAUAUGUGUAAGUAACUGUGCACAUCUUGACGGUACCUAAUCAGAAAGCCACGGCUAACUACGUG